GUUAAAACGCUCGUAGUCGGAUUUCGUGGUCGGGCGACAGGUCUCCUUCACAGGUGCACUUGUCGGCUUGCCAUUCUUACCGGAACGCCUGCACUUUUUUAACUAAACGUGCAGUUGGAACGGUUUAUUUACUUUGAAAAAAUCAGAGUGUUUCAAGCAGGCAGCUCGCUCUUGCAUGGAUUAGUAUGGGAUAAUGAAAUAGGACUUUGGUGCUAUUUUGUUGGUUUCGAACACCGAAGUAAUGAUUAAAAGGGACAGUCAGGGGCACUCGUAUUCCGCCGAGAGAGGUGAAAUUCUCAGACCAGCGGAAGACGAACCACUGCGAAAGCAUUUGCCAGGGAUGUUUUCACUGAUCAAGAACGAAAGUUAGGGGAUCGAAGACGAUCAGAUACCGUCGUAGUCUUAACCAUAAACCAAUACCCGACUAGGGAUUGGAGGAUGUUCACUAUCGACUCCUUCAGCACCUUACGGGAAACUAAAGUCUUUGGGUUCCGGGGGGAGUAU
Molecule: ribosomal RNA, 504 nt
Filed under: uncultured marine eukaryote
Lineage: Eukaryota
Description: SSU rRNA
Rfam family: Eukaryotic small subunit ribosomal RNA
Source: RNAcentral